UGGACAGAAAGACCCUAUGAAGCUUUACUGUAACUUGAAAUUGAAAUUGGACUUUAUUCGCGCAGUAUAGGUGGGAGGUGUUGAUUAUAAUCUUGCGGGAUUAUUGGAGCCAUCAGUGAGAUACCACUCUUGUAAUGUUAGAUUUCUAACUUUGAAUCAUUAUCUGGUCAAAGAACAGUUUCAGGCGGGCAGUUUGACUGGGGCGGUCGCCUCCUAAAUGGUAACGGAGGCGUACAAAGGUUUCCUCAGAUCGGUCAGAAAUCGAUCGUAGAGUGUAAAGGCAGAAGGAAGCUUGACUGUGAGACCUACAAGUCGAGCAGGGACGAAAGUCGGUCUUAGUGAUCUGACGGUACUGAGUGGAAAGGCCGUCACUCAACGGAUAAAAGUUACUCUAGGGAUAACAGGCU
Molecule: ribosomal RNA, 407 nt
Filed under: uncultured eukaryote
Lineage: Eukaryota
Description: bacterial LSU rRNA
Rfam family: Bacterial large subunit ribosomal RNA
Source: RNAcentral